Molecule: long non-coding RNA, 686 nt
Organism: Mizuhopecten yessoensis (Yesso scallop)
Lineage: Eukaryota; Metazoa; Mollusca; Bivalvia; Pectinida; Pectinidae
Exons: 3
Source: RefSeq, a predicted model, not a curated record
UUUACGGUAAAAUUAGGUAUAACAUACAGGAUGAUGGGUAAGGGUCUACAUUUGGUGUAGCAUACAGGAUGAUGGGUAAGGGUCUACAUUAGGUAUAGUAUACAGGAUGAUGGGUAAGGGUCUACAUUAGGUAUAGCAUACAGGAUGGUGGGUAAGGGUCUACAUUAGGUGUAGCAUACAGGAUAAUUGGUAAGGGUCUACAUUAGGUAUGGCAUACAGGAUGAUUGGUAAGGGUCUACAUUAGGUAUGGCAUACAGGGUGAUGGGUAAGGGUCUACAUUAGGUAUGGCAUACAGGGUGAUGGGUAAGGGUCUACAUUAGGUAUGGCAUACAGGGUGAUGGGUAAGGGUCUACAUUAGGUAUGGCAUACAGGGUGAUGGGUAAGGGUCUACAUUAGGUAUGGCAUACAGGGUGAUGGGUAAGGGUCUACAUUAGGUAUGGCAUACAGGGUGAUGGGUAAGGGUCUACAUUAGGUAUGGCAUACAGGGUGAUGGGUAAGGGUCUACAUUAGGUAUGGCAUACAGGGUGAUGGGUAAGGGUCUACAUUAGGCACAGCAUACAGGGUGAUGGGUAAGGAUCUACAUUAGGUGUAGUAUACAGGAUGAUGGGUAAGGGUCUACAUUGGGUGUAGUAUACAGGAUGAUUGGUAAGGGUCCACAUUAGGUGUAGUAUACAGGAUGAUGGGUA